ACCCAAGAAAAGGAGGGUUGGAAGAGUAAACAGGAGAUCUCCACUGGCAAAUAGGUGCAGCAGUAUUGCUGCUAAAGUUCCAUCCCCUGAAUCACUUUCUAUUGACUCUGUACUGAACCACUGCUCCACUUAACCACUGUUAAGAGGAUACUAUGCUUCUGGAGAUGCUGUGUUUCAGUUUUUUAUCAUGCGGAACGUACAAGCAAAGCUGGCUGACAAAUGCUACCGUUCCUUUCAAAAUCUGAAAAAAUGGAUUCCAGAAACAUUGGCCAACAAUUACAUUCUCAGAUUUGUUUGCAGUGGAAGAGAGACAAAUUCAAUGUGAGAGGUAUUGGACUGGCAGCCCUGGAAACUCGUGUUCUCUGUUAACCCAAGCAUAAAUUUUCCCAUGGACUCCCUUUCCUGCAACCCUCCUACUUUUUAAAAUGAGAACUUGCCUGGCUCCACUGCUUUCUUUGUCAUGGAAUCAGCUCCAGUCCCAUCUCAAAGGAAGUGUCGAGAAAAAAAUUGCCACAGGGCAAUGAAUGUAAAAUUCUCCUGUCUGUGGUUACCCCAAAUGACUCCCUCCUCUGUUUUGUUUCCCACUUGUUCUUGUUGUGUGCACACCAUUCUAGUUUCAUUUAUUGUGGUGUCCAGGGAUCGCGGCCCAAUAACACCAAGCAAUUAAAGAGGGUAUUGGUAAUGCAGCCAUCAGCACUUGCAGUUCAAUCACUUCUGAUUCUGACAAGUUUUCCCCAAGGUGCCAGUAGCAUUACAAGGAUUAUGAUUCCAGAAAUAGAACCUGUGAGGCAGAAAGUCAAAACACACAACCAGUUACUCUCCAGCACUAGGACUUUGAAGAGGGAUCCUGUGGAAAAAAGAUAUUGCCAUGGAAUAAGAUCCUGUUCUCCAGGAGUGCCCUGGGAUACUGUAAGCACUGAUGUGUGGGAACUCAAACACAACUGAAGAAUCUGGCUUUUCUGGAGGUUUUACGACAAAACAAAAAAGGUGUUUGUACAAGGAAAUGAGGGUGCCAGGAAAGAAGACAGAUACUCCAUGUUUUCAAGAAAGACAUAUGUACAUAAAAUAGUAGGUAAACUUUGCAGGAUUUCUCCAGUCAUGGUGACAAGUACAAUGACAAUUUGUAGUCUCUGCUGUUAGGGGACAAAUUCUGUCCUUAAAUAUUUCACUGAGACUCUCUUUUGAGCCAUUUGUAUUUAUGCUAGGGCAUUUGUAGGCCAAAUUUGACCCAGAAUUCACAAAUUUGCCCAUCUUGGGGUUUUUCAACUUUGCAUACCUAAAAUGUGUGUGUGGGGAGGCGGGAUGCCUUCACCUUUCAUCCAGCCACCAUUUCAUCUUGUUCUCUGCUCCAUUGUUCAUCUUGCACAGCUUGACUGCAUACAAGAAAAGCAUCCUGACAGCAAAUAAUUGGUGUUUGUGACUAUGGAAUUGAUCAUGUUGCACAGAGGUGUGUGGCAGGCAUUCUGCAUUAUGCUGAAAGCUGCAGAACAAGGUGGGGAGAGAAGUAUUUUAGUAAAUAAAAACGAAUUAUUCCAGGAGACUAGUGAAGAGUCACAGGCAGAAGUUCUGAAUGGAUCAGAGUGGAAAGUAACUGCUUGUAAACAGGAGCAGAAGAAAAUCAGUGAGGCUUACGUUAGUUAACUGUUUCAGAAACAGAAUCUACUUAGAGUCUCAGUCUUUCAAGUUCCCCCCAGCCCUCAAAAAACACAUAUUACAAGACACAUCAGAUUUUCUUAUUCAAUUUUUAAUGAAUGUUGAGAUGAAAACUUCUGAGAAAAACUAAUUUGUUCAAACUCUGGUUUGAAUCUAUAAA
Long non-coding RNA from Mauremys reevesii (Reeves's turtle), 1813 nucleotides. RefSeq lists it as uncharacterized. The transcript is spliced from 4 exons. The record is from RefSeq and is a predicted model, not a curated record. Lineage: Eukaryota; Metazoa; Chordata; Testudines; Geoemydidae.